AAACGGCCCACCUCCGUUCCGAAUUACUUGUCGCAGGCAUGGAUGUAUCUAGAUGUAUUUUAGUUCUAGAUACAUCCAUUUCCGUGACAAGUAAUUUGGAACGGGGGGAGUAGUAU
This is a non-coding RNA of Triticum aestivum (bread wheat), 116 nucleotides long. Lineage: Eukaryota; Viridiplantae; Streptophyta; Magnoliopsida; Poales; Poaceae. The record is from Rfam.